CCUACGGGUUGCAGCAGUGAGGAAUAUUGGUCAAUGGGCGGAAGCCUGAACCAGCCAAGUCGCGUGAGGGAAUAAGGCCCUACGGGUCGUAAACCUCUUUUGCCGGGGAGCAAGGGCGGGGACGUGUUCCGGCCCGGAGAGUACCCGGAGAAAAAGCAUCGGCUAACUCCGUGCCAGCAGCCGCGGUAAUACGGAGGAUGCGAGCGUUAUCCGUAUUUAUUGGGUUUGAAGGGUGCGUAGGCGGGCUUUUAAGUCAGCGGUAAAAAGUCGGGGCUCAACCCCGUCCGGCCGUGGACACGGGGGGCCUUGAGUGGGCGAGAAGUAUGCGGAAUGCGUGGUGUAGCGGUGAAAUACAUAGAUAUCACGCAGAACUCCGAUUGCGAAGGCAGCAUACCGGCGCCCAACUGACGCUGAAGCACGAAAGCGUGGGUAUCGAACAGGAUUAGAUACCCGGGUAGUC
This 460-nucleotide ribosomal RNA is filed under the name uncultured bacterium. Its description in RNAcentral is "partial 16S ribosomal RNA". It matches the Rfam family "Bacterial small subunit ribosomal RNA", at positions 338 to 795 of the family's 1533-position model. The record is from RNAcentral.